AUUGAACGCUGGCGGCAGGCCUAACACAUGCAAGUCGAGCGGAUGAAGGGAGCUUGCUCCUGGAUUCAGCGGCGGACGGGUGAGUAAUGCCUAGGAAUCUGCCUGGUAGUGGGGGAUAACGUCCGGAAACGGGCGCUAAUACCGCAUACGUCCUGAGGGAGAAAGUGGGGGAUCUUCGGACCUCACGCUAUCAGAUGAGCCUAGGUCGGAUUAGCUAGUUGGUGGGGUAAAGGCCUACCAAGGCGACGAUCCGUAACUGGUCUGAGAGGAUGAUCAGUCACACUGGAACUGAGGCACGGUCCAGACAACUACGGGAGGCAGCAGUGGGGAAUUUUGGACAAAGGGCGAAAGCCUGAUCCAGCCACGCCGCGUGUGUGAAGAAGGUCUUCGGAUUGUAAAGCACUUUAAGUUGGGAGGAAGGGCAGUAAGUUAAGACCUUGCUGUUUUGACGUUACCAACAGAAUAAGCACCGGCUAACUUCGU
Molecule: ribosomal RNA, 483 nt
Filed under: uncultured bacterium
Lineage: Bacteria
Description: partial 16S ribosomal RNA
Rfam family: Bacterial small subunit ribosomal RNA
Source: RNAcentral